AUUGAACGCUGGCGGCAUGCUUUACACAUGCAAGUCGAACGGUAACAGGCCGCAAGGUGCUGACGAGUGGCGAACGGGGGGGUAAUGCAUCGGAACGUGCCCAGUCGUGGGGGAUAACUACUCGAAAGAGUAGCUAAUACCGCAUACGAUCUAUGGAGGAAAGCGGGGGACCGUAAGGCCUCGCGCGAUUGGAGCGGCCGAUGUCAGAUUAGGUAGUUUGUGGGGUAAAGGCUCACCAAGCCAACGAUCUGUAGCUGGUCUGAGAGGACAACCAGCCACACUGGGACUGGGACACGGCCCAGACUCCUACGGGAGGCAGCAGCGGGGAAUUUUGGACAAUGGGCGCAAGCCUGCUCCAGCAAUGCCGCGUGCAGGAAGAAGGCCUUCGGGUUGUAAACUGCUUUUGUACGGAACGAAACGGCUCUGGUUAAUACCCGGGGCUAAUGACGGUACCGUAAGAAUAAGCACCGGCUAACUACGUG
This 482-nucleotide ribosomal RNA is filed under the name uncultured bacterium. RNAcentral describes it as "partial 16S ribosomal RNA". It matches the Rfam family "Bacterial small subunit ribosomal RNA", at positions 30 to 507 of the family's 1533-position model. The record is from RNAcentral.